GAAAGUGAAGGCCUUCCGCGCGGUUGGCUUAGGCGAGAUCCUGCUCGAUGGCAGGCGCAUCGCCGGCCCAUCUCGAACGCUCGUCGUUGAGGUGGAGCUAGAGCGUGCAUGUUGGGACCCGAAAGAUGGUGAACUAUGUCUGAGUAGGUCGAAGCCAGAGGAAACUCUGGUGGAAGACCGUAGCGAUUCUGACGUGCAAAUCGAUCGUCAAACUUGGAUAUAGGGGCGAAAGACUAAUCGAACCAUCU
RNAcentral lists this ribosomal RNA (248 nucleotides) under Halicryptus spinulosus. Its description in RNAcentral is "partial large subunit ribosomal RNA". It matches the Rfam family "Eukaryotic large subunit ribosomal RNA", at positions 721 to 945 of the family's 3401-position model. The record is from RNAcentral. Lineage: Eukaryota; Metazoa; Priapulida; Priapulimorpha; Priapulimorphida; Priapulidae.